This 1242-nucleotide long non-coding RNA is filed under the name Trifolium pratense (red clover). Its description in RNAcentral is "long non-coding RNA (TPRA_LNC003439)". The record is from RNAcentral. Lineage: Eukaryota; Viridiplantae; Streptophyta; Magnoliopsida; Fabales; Fabaceae.
GAUGGUUUUGUUUUUGUAUGUCAUUCUGUCUCAUUUUUGUUGUAUCAUGUUAAUUCUAGUCCAAUUAAAUUAACAAACUAUAUAAACUACAUUCAAUAACAUUAUAUAUUCAACAAAACACUAUCAAAAAAUACUACAACACUUAAAAUCCAUAAACACUUGAAGGAAUUAUUCCAAUGCCAACAUGACUUGUCGAUCAUUUUUUUUCUUCAUUCAAACCUCCAAUCCUUAGAGUUUCCUGGAGAAAAGAAAAGGUUAAAUUAAAAUAUAAAUUCAUAUAGUAUAUUACAAUUAAUUCACUAAAAAGGUUAUUAAUAUUAACUAGUUAUUCUAAGAAUAGAACUACAAGUCAAUACAAAAACAAAGUAACAGAUCUAUUUUUUUAGUAGGUUGUUAAAUCAAAUAUCUGGAAAAAAUGAAAAUAGAGGUUAAAGAUCCUCAAACCCAAACUCAAAAAUUAACAAAAUAAUUAGUCAAAUAGUAACAUGAAAAAUCCAAAAUUGAGAAAUAGAAACUGAAAUAACAAACCCUAACUUGAGAACCUAAAAACAUGGAGAUGUUGCUGCUUAAUGAUUAAGAUACAACAAAUAAAAUGAAAACAAAAAAAUUACAAGAGUGUAAAAUAAAUAUCACUACAUAUCUCAAUAUACAACUUCACAGAUCUAUGGAUCCAAAAGGACAGAUUUGAAAAAAUUUAUAUACCAUGUAGAUCUGAAGAGAAAUCUGUCGAUCUAAAGAUUAUAUUAUUUACCAUGCAGCAUCUUUGUUCCUCAACCAUGAGCAGUUUUAUAUCUUACUUCUUGUGUAUUCCAUGAUAGAAAAACAAAAAGAAAACUAUUAAGAUUUGUGAAAACUUAAAACAACAAAACCCAGUAAAUCAAAAAAAGAAAAAUUGAUGAGAAGGAUGGUAGAUACUUUGAGUUUGACGACAGUGGAUGGAUGGGAUGGUGGAGAAAGAGUUGAGAAAACGGAGGAGAAGGAGGGAAUGCACGGCGGCGGCUAGGGUUUGGCAAUAGAAAAGAGUGAGUGAGAGAGGAAACAAAAGGAAUUGGAAAAUAUUAAGCGUAAAAAAGUAAAGACUGAAAAGGAUGUCAUCAUAUUAGUAAUAAAAAAUAAAAAUAAAAUAGUAAACACGGUUCGGUUCGGGUAUCCGUGGUUCCAUUUUAUUGAACCGGACCCGACCGUGUAAACUCACUAGAAACCGCAAAACAGACCCGUGAACCCGUAAAACCGUCCAGAUCC